CAAUAGCGUAUAUUAAAGUUGUUGCAGUUAAAAAGCUCGUAGUUGGAUUUCUGGUAGGAGUGACCGUUCCGAACUUGAUUGUUCGUGUAUUGUGUUUUCUCCAGCCAUCCUUGUGGAGAACUUUUCUUGCAUUAAUUUGUAGGGAUUGGGACCCGCAUCGUUUACUGUGAAAAAAUUAGAGUGUUUAAAGCAGGCAAUCGCUUGAAUACAUUAGCAUGGAAUAAUAAGAUAGGACUUUGGUACUAUUUUGUUGGUUUGCAUACCAAAUUAAUGACCAACAGGAACAGUUUGAGGAUAUUCGUAUGAACAUGUCAGAGGUGAAAUUCUUGGAUUUUGAUCAGACGAACUACUGCGAAAGCAUUUAUCAAGGAUGUUUUCAUUAA
Molecule: ribosomal RNA, 383 nt
Filed under: uncultured eukaryote
Lineage: Eukaryota
Description: partial 18S ribosomal RNA
Rfam family: Eukaryotic small subunit ribosomal RNA
Source: RNAcentral